RNAcentral lists this ribosomal RNA (433 nucleotides) under uncultured bacterium. RNAcentral's name for it is "partial 16S ribosomal RNA". It matches the Rfam family "Bacterial small subunit ribosomal RNA", at positions 29 to 507 of the family's 1533-position model. The record is from RNAcentral.
AACGAACGCUGGCGGCAUGCUUAACACAUGCAAGUCGAACGAAGCCUUCGGGCUUAGUGGCGCACGUGUGCGUAACGCGUGGUAAUCUGCCCCUUGCUUCUGAAUACCAGUUAGAAAUUACUGCUCAUACCGGAUGAAGUCCUCGUACCAAAGAUUUAUCGGCAAGGGAUGAGCCCGCGUAGGAUUAGGCAGUUGGUGAGGUAAAAGCCUACCAAGGCGACGAUACUUAGCUGUCCCGAGAGGAUGAUCAGCCACACUGGGACUGAGACACGGACCAAAAUCAAACGGGAAGCAGCAGUGGGGAAUAUAGGACAAUGAAAGCAAGUCUGAUAAAGCAGUGCCGCGUGAGUAAUGAAGGGCUUAGGGUUGUAAAACUAUUUUACCAGGGAUGAUAAUGACAGUACCUGAAGAAUAAGCACCGGCUAACUCCGUG